RNAcentral lists this ribosomal RNA (252 nucleotides) under uncultured bacterium. Its description in RNAcentral is "partial 16S ribosomal RNA". It matches the Rfam family "Bacterial small subunit ribosomal RNA", at positions 524 to 776 of the family's 1533-position model. The record is from RNAcentral.
UACGUAGGGGGCAAGCGUUGUCCGGAAUUAUUGGGCGUAAAGCGCGUGUAGGCGGCUUUGCAAGUCGGGUGUGAAAUCCCUCAGCUUAACUGAGGAAGUGCGCCCGAAACUGCAGAGCUUGAGUACCGGAGAGGGUGGCGGAAUUCCCCAAGUAGAGGUGAAAUUCGUAGAUAUGGGAGGAACACCGGUGGCGAAGGCGGCCACCUGGACGGAUACUGACGCUGAGACGCGAAAGCGUGGGGAGCAAACAGG